CACCAGCUCCACGGCAGCUCCCACACAGCCCGUGCGCCCUCGCCAGCCCUCUGCGCUCUCAGGGAGGAGACUCCUGUGAGCCCACACGGAAUAGCCUCUGCCUUCUCUCCGUGCUCGCCUACCUAUUGGUAGUAAAGGUGUGUUUAAGCCCUGAAGUCCAUUGAUAAGUGUCUCCUGCUUCCACAUGGAUCCGACUGUGUCCUCACCUACAUGUGUUUUGCCUGAGGAGUUUCCAAGCUGUCAGCAGACACCUGGUCACACAAACUGUUGACUUAGUGUUGUCUCACUUGAAGGGGCAAAAGAUACUCCUAUGAAAGGGUUGGAGGAAAGUGGUAAACCUCUUGGAUCAUUUACACUGCCUGGAGAAUUUCCUCAACAGUACAUCCACAGCAUGAUGUUCCCCAGCUCUUCCUUUUUGCCUCUUCCUUCCACCCAAAAAUUUUCAUACCUUCAGAUAAACCCCUCGAGUGUCAUUACGUUGUUUGAAUUCAAAUGAGGCACAACGCCCUACCACAAAAACCCACUCUUGCAAAUCUGACCCAGCAGAUAGAGGUUUAAAGCUAAACCAGUACAGAGGCUUGAAUGACCCUGUGGUCAAUGCCAGACCAGCAUCUUAAUGGACCCCCUAUGGAAACAUGGGCUGAGGUCCACAGCUUCAGACAUAGACGACAACAGCAGCUCCUCUGUCUUCUGUUCCUUCCAUGUUUGAUCUUCUGCCUGCGCUUUCUUCUGCUGGGUCCUGGAGCCCGUAGGAAUGAGGGUAUUGUGUCCAUAUUGCAUGUGAUGACAUGUGUUUGAACGAGCACCAGGGCAGCCUGGCAAGAAGAGCAUGAAAUCCAGCAGGACUGAACAGCAGGCCAGGUCCCUGCUGUGGAGCAGCUUGGACACUUCUUUAAAACCCUUUGGGGAUAAAAGAAGCAGGAAGAAAAACAAACCUGCCAUGGCACCUGUUUUUUUCUUCUUCCCAGAGGCUUAAGGAGGCCAGGGAAGAAAUAGGGUUGAACAUGUCAGCCUGGUCAGGGGCUUCAGCACAUUAGUGAAAAAUAGGAUGCAAAGGCAUUUCCUGAUAUGGGAAAGUAACCUGGGAAUUCCCACAUCAAGAUGGGCUGUGCUGAGUACCAGAGAAUGGUGGAUCCCCCCAAAUGUCUUUGCAAAGAAACAGGAAACAACAGAUGGCAGUGAGAGUCCUCCUGGGCAAGGCAUUUUGUGUUGAGUUUUUGUAGUUCAUCUUGGCCACUCUGGCCCCAGAGAUGGCCAGCGCAAAGGAACUGAAAAGACACUUCCUUUAGAAUUCAAGAAAAGAAAUACUGCCCUGGGAGCUGUACUAGAAAGUGAAGAAAGUUUGAUAUUCCACAGAGAGGUGCACAACUGAUGAGUGAGAACUUUUUGAUGACUGAAGAACUUGGUCUGGUAAGAUUAAUUAACUCACAUAUAUCUAGGAGCUUUCACCCAGAGAUCAUAGAGCUCUUAGAAACAGAGGGCAAGGGAAAGAAUGGAAAGAAGCCAGUUUUGGGAUAUAAUAUUUUUUCUAACAAUGCACAACAGGAGUAAAUCAUAGCCUAUGUUUUGCCUGCACUGCAGAAGAAAUUUCAACAGGAGUAACAUGCAUCAGGGCACCUAGUAGCCUUGUUUUCAUGAAAAAAAACCCACCAUAUUUGUAGCAAGCACAGGUUUUGCCUCCAAGUCAAUAUAUUAUCACUAGACUGUAGAAGAGGGUAGCAAGAAGCUGAGGCUACCGGAGGGAAUGGCAGCACUGUUUUCUUUGUGGCAGCUGAACACUGGUACUUGGGACUGCUCUUUAUUUAUCCCCAUACCACUCUAAACCAAACCAAGCAUAAACUCAGACUGAAGAUAAAAUGGAAACUUUCCAUGUUGGAGUCCCCUGGGCUGAAGAAUGAAGGGAAGAAGAGCCAUCCUUCUCUAUUUUGAAGUCCAUGCAUCAAUACAGGUGAGAUCCAGGGUGUGGGAAGAGCAAGGAUAACCCCCACUUUUAAGUGUAUUUUGUGCUCAAGAGAGAAGCAGACUAGGAUAGGUGAAAACACUUAAUUUUUUCUUUUAGGAACAGAAGCCAUUCCGAAAGCUCAGCUGACUUCUGUGCUCAAAACCAGAUGGAUUGUAAUGGUAAUAAAAGAAUUAAAUCUUUAUCAUCUGGCAGCAAAGCCAAGAGAAGAAAAACUAAGCUCAAAGGGUUUGAAAAGGACUCCACAUUCCCCAUGGAGGAAACAAAUGUAAAUCUGGCAAGCGGUCACUUGGAGAUCCAAGAUCUGUGGGUUGAAAUGAGGUCUGAGUUAUUCAGCCAAGUUUAUUGCCAAGCUCAAUGGCAAUUGUCCUUUUAGUAUACAAAAGAUUGCAGUCUUGGAAUGUCUGGAGGUCUUUCUGCACCACCAAGGGUUAUCAGAGCUCACAGAGUGACUACUUUGCAAAUUUGUUUGUUGUGUUAUGACAAUGUUUUAAAGUUUCAUGUUGCUGCCUGAUGCUCUUGUGAAAGAGAUGUCAAGAUCUGAUAUUGGUGACACUGCGAAUGCCUUGAUCCUAUCUGAACAUUACUGAGGAAGUUCCACAAUCCUAUUGGGGCUAAAACAAAAAAAUUUCAUUAUUUCAGUAAAUGAAAAGGUAUGAUGGAAGUGUAUGGGAUGUGGAAAACCAUUAAGUAAAAUCAGUAUUUUUCUUAAACUCACUGCAUCAAGUCUACAACACCUUUAUUAAGCAAACCUUCUUAGCUUAAAACAUACUGUAAUAAUUACUUGUGCUCACAGAAACAUAUGUCCUGGUCUUCAGCUUUCCCUGAACCAUUUUGCCUCAAUGUUGCUAUGCCUUUGUACUUCACCAAAAAUAUCAUCAGGAGGACAGUUCUUGACUCCCCUGGAGGAGAGAAUGAGGAAUUCCAAAUGAAGCUGAUUUAGCUGACCAGUGAGUCCUUGAAUGCAUGUGCAGGAAGUCAAGGGAAAACUGAUGAAGAGCUCACAGCAAAGGUUAAAGCAUUUCUGAAGCUCUCAAGCAAGGUAUGCCAGCUGUAGAAGAACAGGAGUCAUUUGGAAAAAACUUAUUACCUUUCUGUAUCUAACCACGUUGAAGAUUUAUUUAUCCAUGCAAACUAGAAGUCUAUGUUAAUAAUACAUCCUAAAGGCUAUCUUCCUUCCAGUGAUGAUUUUUAAAGUUAAUUUUAGGGGAACUGUUGACCUUAUCAAUGCUUCACCUACCCCCACUGCAGGAAAAGCUUGCUCUAGGCAGUCCUCCAUAGGGCUACCUUCUGUCUUGCCAUUCAGCCAGGAUGAAACUCUCUGAUUUGUCAGUUCCUGCCUGUCUCCAAAUGCUCUUCCCAAUUCUUCUGUCCAAUGGAAAGCAAAUACCAAAAUGAGCAGGACUGUGGUGAUGAUUUUGAGACAGAUGUUGGGAUUAAAGCUUUGCAGAAAUGAGGGUAGCAAAGCAUAGCCACAAACUGCUUGAGGAAGCUGCAGAACUUCUACUGCUGCAACUUCUAUGGAAACAGCUGGAUGACUGUCAGGAAAGACAUAGAAACAGCCUGCCUUCCCCUGGCAUAGGAAGCUGGACUGGAUAAUCCUUCAAAGCUUCCUCCAGGCUGCAUUUUUUCUUUUUAUGGCUUACACUUCUGGGCAGUCUCUUUUUUUGUUCUUCCAGUCUUAUGUGAAGGCAGUGAAUCCAGAAGUGUUUGCCUUAACACUGACAGAAUGCAUGUGAAAAAAAUCCUGUCCUGCCUUAUCUGGCAGGAGUACAUUACAACAUUUUCCUGACUGGUGCAAUGCCAGUAAAUCAGAUAUUGUAAGAUGCAGCCUUUAUGUAUCUACCUUAUCAAACUCUCAACCUUCAGAUCACCAUAUGAUGAUCUUCAUAAGGCAUAUGACAUAAUUAUGUGAAUGACCUCCAGAAUAUUUUUCAAAAUCACUACCACCCUUCCCUUUUCCUGACUUGCUAGGAUAAACCCAUGACACAACCAUGGCCUUCUCACUGGACACUACCAAAGGACUCCAGCUAGGGAGACUGAAUGGUGAUCUAAAGCAAUCUGUUGUAAUUUGAACACCAGCAUCAAUAAUUGAAGCAAAUACACAUUUACCACAUAGUCCAGUAUAGCUUUCCUGCCUUCUUAUUAAUUCAUCUGAAAAACCACAAAUAAAACAGCCCCAAAUCCAAACCUUAAGUAAUUUGUAAGAGUUUUCCUGGGUUUCAAGACAUGGACAAUAAAAAGAGUCCCGCUUGGUUUGAAAAUAAAAAGUUUUUCACAUGUACUUGUAUAUAUUAACAUAUGCCUAGGAAUGCAUAUAAAAUAAAGUACUGGGAGGAGGUAUACAAAUGUGUGUAAAUAAAAGAAAUAGAAAAGGAAGAGUGUGACAGAUUAUGUGUUUCAUGUGCAUGCAUUUGAAUAUAUGUGCAUUCAGGGACACUCACUCCAGAAAGAGCAAGUUAAGAACAAAAUACAAAAGUCAAAUUUAUAAAAAAAAAAAAUCACACUUUUAGGGAAAUGAACAUGUUUAUAUCAGUGAAACACUAAAUACCAUACAGUCAGGCAGUCUGUCAAGAAGGAAGUGGUCAUCAUCCAAAUGCUUUAGAAAAGAAA
This is a long non-coding RNA of Passer domesticus (house sparrow), 4573 nucleotides long. RefSeq lists it as uncharacterized. NCBI's taxonomy places the organism in Eukaryota, Metazoa, Chordata, Aves, Passeriformes, Passeridae. The transcript has 6 exons. The record is from RefSeq and is a predicted model, not a curated record.